RNAcentral lists this ribosomal RNA (565 nucleotides) under Triticum aestivum (bread wheat). RNAcentral's name for it is "partial small subunit ribosomal RNA". Lineage: Eukaryota; Viridiplantae; Streptophyta; Magnoliopsida; Poales; Poaceae. The record is from RNAcentral.
GUCAAGGCUGAGUACGGCUGUAGCCGAGGUUGCUUCGAAGCAUUUCUGGGAGUAUGGGCUAACAGCCUGCCUGAGGGCCAUGAACUGCCGAAAACCAUGUACGGUACGAAGAAAAUCAUGAAGGCGCUCUCCAUGGACUAUGAGAAAAUACAUGUUUGUCCAAAGAAUUGCCUUUUGUUUAGGCAUGAGUAUGCGGAUGACAACUAUUGUAGGAAGUGCGGUUCCUCUCGGUAUAUUGAGGUGGUCGAUAAGCAUGGUCAGAAGCAGCAUCUAAAAAUCCCUGUGAAGGUUCUUCGGUAUCUUGAUUUUAUAAAAAGACUGCAGCGCCUUUUCAUCACCGAGGAGUCUGCCAAAAUGAUGAAGUGGCACAAGGAAGGGAAAAGGUACAAUCCAAAAAAAAUUGUACAUCCAUCAGAAGGUGAAGCAUGGAAGUCAUUUGAUAUAGAGUACCCGGAGGAAGCAGCCGAGGCUGGGAAUGUCAGAAUUGCUAUAACAGGUGAUGGGUUCAAUCCAUAUGGUAUGUCGUCUAAUCCAUACAGCUGCUGGCUCGUAUUUGUUAUUCCGC